This 720-nucleotide ribosomal RNA is filed under the name Enterobacter sp. ICBR 098. RNAcentral's name for it is "bacterial SSU rRNA". It matches the Rfam family "Bacterial small subunit ribosomal RNA", at positions 47 to 755 of the family's 1533-position model. The record is from RNAcentral. Lineage: Bacteria; Pseudomonadati; Pseudomonadota; Gammaproteobacteria; Enterobacterales; Enterobacteriaceae.
CCUUACCACAAUGCAAUUCGAGCUGUUAGCACAGGGAGCUGCUCCUGGGUGACGAGCGGCGGACGGGUGAGUAAUGUCUGGGAAACUGCCUGAUGGAGGGGGAUAACUACUGGAAACGGUAGCUAAUACCGCAUAACGUCGCAAGACCAAAGAGGGGGACCUUCGGGCCUCUUGCCAUCAGAUGUGCCCAGAUGGGAUUAGCUAGUAGGUGGGGUAACGGCUCACCUAGGCGACGAUCCCUAGCUGGUCUGAGAGGAUGACCAGCCACACUGGAACUGAGACACGGUCCAGACUCCUACGGGAGGCAGCAGUGGGGAAUAUUGCACAAUGGGCGCAAGCCUGAUGCAGCCAUGCCGCGUGUAUGAAGAAGGCCUUCGGGUUGUAAAGUACUUUCAGCGGGGAGGAAGGCGAUAAGGUUAAUAACCUUGUCGAUUGACGUUACCCGCAGAAGAAGCACCGGCUAACUCCGUGCCAGCAGCCGCGGUAAUACGGAGGGUGCAAGCGUUAAUCGGAAUUACUGGGCGUAAAGCGCACGCAGGCGGUCUGUCAAGUCGGAUGUGAAAUCCCCGGGCUCAACCUGGGAACUGCAUUCGAAACUGGCAGGCUAGAGUCUUGUAGAGGGGGGUAGAAUUCCAGGUGUAGCGGUGAAAUGCGUAGAGAUCUGGAGGAAUACCGGUGGCGAAGCGCCCCUGACAAAGACUGACGCUCGUCAAGCGUGCA